GUCAGGAGAGCUAAAAUAGUAGGCAGGCCCAGUAACACAGAAAAUAAACUUCCUUUUCAGAAAGGAGCCUCCCCUCUUGGUUUCAUAAGCGUGUGCCGUUUAAGUCUGUACUGUCUGAAGGUGAAAAGAAACAUGUGAGAAGCACCUGCCUGGAUACCUUCGUUCCCUCUGCCUAUGGCAAGCAACCCUCACCUCAGUCUUUACUCAGGAGCGUACAAGCGUUAACCAAAGUCCAAUCCGUCAGCUGAGCCCAGGCACCCUACCCAACCCACCAGUCGAAGCUUCAGGCCAGAGCUGGAUUAACGCGGUGGGAGAGGCUGCCGAUGUCGCUGCUUUGCCCUUGACAAGUCUCUCGGUACCGCGCAGACCCCUCGUUCCGCGGGAAGCCAGCGUCCUGUCGGGACCUCCAGUCCCCGGCUGCCCCGCCGGCCCCUCCACGCUUCCCCUCUCCACUGCCGCCAGCCCUGCGGGGAAGGCGCUCCUUCCAAGGAAGGGGGUCCCACCUGCUCCGUCGUCGAGGGCCAUCGAGGGUCCCUGGUGGGAGAAUCCCCGAAACCGUGGCCGCCUGGCCGGCUGCGACGCGGCCGGGGUACCAACUGUCACGCCGCCGCCCGGGCGGUGGGGGGAGGGCUGGAUCCGCGGGUCGGCCCCUGCGCGACUGCGGACGCAGGGCGGGCACAGCCCAAGGCCCCCACCACAGUCGCUCGCCCCGACAGAGCACCCGGCAGCCUCCGGGCUGCACGCAGCACCACGGAAAAGGUGGCCACGGCCGCCUCCGCCUUCCUCCCCGCCCCAACUUGGCGGGGGCCCCGCGGGCGGCCCGCCCCUUCGGCCUUACCCUCCGCGAGAGAAGAGGCCGCGCCCCGAAGCGCCCGCCAGAGUGGAAAUCAUUCGGCCGAGAGCCUGGAGGAGGUCUGCACCUUGAGCAUGGUGCAGGCAGAUGGGCCUCACACUCUGAUGGAGCCCCUGGAGCCGGCCUUCCUGGGCAGCAGCUGCCCUAGCCCCAGCCCCUCCCUCCUGGACUCCUCCAGCGCCACAGACAUUUCCAGCCUGCAGGCCCUGAUGCUGGCAAGGUCCACCUCUUCUGGCCUUGACUCCGCACUGGAGCUGCACUCCGAGGGGGAUCCCCCAGCUGAACUUCUAGACCAGCUGGAGCCUCCUGAGCCCCCUGAGGAAGAACUUCAGGCUGCAGGGCCGGCUCCAGCCUACGCUCAGGUCGCACCAGCAGAGCUCGUGCCAGUUCCACCGGCAGCUCCCUCAUCAGCUCGAGCCCCACAGCAAGAGCCGGAACCUGCAUCCCCUUCUCCACCAGCUGCUGACCUGCAACUCCCGGAGGCUCCACAGCAGGGCUCAGCUCUUCAGCUCUACCUGUGGGCAACUCUUGACCCACACCUGCCAUUCCCCUGUCUCGUAGAUUUGCUUUGCAUCGUAUCUCUUGCUAUCCUUAUUAACCAGAGCUAUGUCAAUGAUAGAAUUUAAAUAAAAUGUAAGGUUUAGUCUUGUUUAAAAGGCUUGCCGUGGCAUUAAAUGCAUUCUCAAUAGCGUACAACCUUCACCGCUGUCCUGCUCUAGAACAUUUUCCCCAAUUCUGUACCCAAAUGGAUCUCCUCCCCUCUCUGCUGCUGCUAGAUCCUGAACGCCAUCCAUCUCAUAUCCCUGUCAUUUCCCCAUUCUACACUUUUUCACAACACUGCAAUCACAUUGUGUUACAGAACCAGGGAGGGACUGUUUCAGCUUGAGUUUGCUAGAAAGGGAAGAUCCUAACUAGCUCCCAAGGAUUUCUCAACAAAUAGUUUCCAGUUCUUUUUGUCACACAAGAAAUAUUUAUCGCACUCAAAUGCAGAAUGCACUCUUGAGUGAAUAGUCAAUGAAAGGACAUACUGACAGUCAGCGCACCUAGGACCGGCAGCCACCCUGGCGGUGUCCCUCCUCCCUGUCUUUGCUGUGGGGCUCGGGUCUGUGUGGUUUUCUUCCUGCAUGGGGGGUGUGUAGGCCGCAGCUCUCCUGUCGGCUCAUGUACGCCCUGGAGACGUGGUCCAUUCUAGGAGGACUCUCCACUGGCAUUUUUGGAGGCCCUGACACACAGGUGUUUCAGCAACCUCUGCUCUGGACUUUUUCCAAUCUUUCAGCUCAUACCAGAGCUCAAGGAAACUUCUGCCACCCUAAAUCUCAUUUUCCAAGUUGGAUUCCCAGCAGUGGAGUUUCUGGCUCACAGUCACACAAGUGGGGACACGCAUGUGCUCUCCACUGGGGUGUCCCCAAGGCCUAGGGGUAGCACCCACGGUUCCCAGACACAGAGAUUCAUGGUGGCCUCUGGGAAAUGCAGUUGGACAGGGUCUUAGGAGGUAACGAGGACAGCUCACGCCUUUGUCACAGCUCAAACACAGAGGAACAGCUCAGCGCAGGCCCACCUCUCCUCCGUGAGGAGGGACAAACUUUCUCUAGGUUUUCCUUCAAUUUUGCCUUCAGAAUAGCAAAUCUCAGAGUACCAUGGGCAGCAGGAACUAUAGGUUCCUAGGGGAAUUUACUCCAGUUUUUCCCCUGUGGACACUGCAGAGGAAACGUCCUUAAAUUUCAUUCUGCUACUAGGCAUUGAACAUAACCAAGGGCUUCUCACUGACAUGCAGCAACAGCCCUUUGAAAGUUUUUUUUUUUUUUUUUUUUUUUUUUUUUUUUUUGAAAUUGUGACACAGAGUCUCCCUAAGUAGCUAAGUGGUCCAGGAUGAUCUUGGGUACAUCAUUCUCUUGCUUCAGGUUUCGAGAGUGCGGGCAUUGGAGCGGUGUGCCGUCUCUCGUGGCUCCUGGAAGCCUUUCUGAAAGACCGACUUCAAAUUUCAUCUCUGGACUCUGGCUGACCACUUUCAGGUCUUGAGUCAAUUUGGUACCUCUAGCAAGCGGUGUGGACUCCAGCAGAGGGCUAGGGAUCCCUGAGAGGCCAGCACCUGGCUGCACAUGUGCUCACUGGGUGACCAUCAUUCCAAGCCCACCCAGUCUGGGUGAAUGGCCACACGUUCUGCACUGACCUCCCUCCCACACUGGCUCCUCAUGUGCACAAAUCCCACUUUUCAGCAAGGUAACCUGGGCAGGUGAGGUAGGAAGAGCCUGGCCUAGUGAGACUGGCUCCCCUCUAGCCCCAAAACUCCUGCAGGAGGAGGGGUAGGAACUGCAGACUGCUCUGUGUCCUGAGUCUGUGCCCAUCAACACUUGCAGGAACCAUCUUAUCAGUCUCCAGGCUCCACCUGCAACCCACAACCUCUACCAGCUUGGCCUAGGCUCCCUCCACCACCACACAAAAACACCACGUCCGUGCCAAAUGCUGCCAGGCUCCCAAACUAUGCAUUUCGACCCACUGCAUUUGGCAUAAAGAAAGGACCUUCCACACGGAGCUUGUGCUGGCAAGGCCUGGGGGCAUGGGCUGGGUGCUCAGUACCAGCAACCUGGAAAACAAUGUAUGCUUGAAAGAUUGCACCCUCCUGCACCACAUGUGGCCUACCUUCCACUCUACACGUUCAGCAUGACAACUCAGCGCCAUGAAUAUCACUAUGCACCUCUUGCACUUACGAACAAAAAGAGUAGCACAAACAAAAUUUAAACACAAAACCAAGUUCUGACACCUGAGAGAAAAAAGAGUACAAAGUGAAGCAAAACCAGUUUGGAAAUUGCUGAAAGAAGUUCAGUGAGAAAUUUCACGUGACCCAGCUAUCCCACUUCUAGGAAUCUUCCCCAGAGAGCUGAAGACAUCAGAGUACAGUGCAACAUGCACACCGAUGCUUGUAGCAGCACAAUUCACACCAGCUCAAUUCUGCUAGGAGCCUGAACACCCUUCCACAGGUGACUGGGUCAAAACGUGUGGUGUCCACCUCUCAGGAAAGAAAGCUGACUUGCCUAUAAAGGAGGACCAAUUUGAGACUUAGUCAGGAAGAUGGGUGCACCUAGGCAAUACAACGUUGAGUGCAAUGUAUCACACCCGGAAAGCUCACAUACUACAUAGUAACUCUCAUUGGCACAAGGCAAAAUGCAAAGCAAGGGCAUAAUAAAGGAAGGCCACAGAGAGACAAGGGCAUGGAUCUCUUACAAAUGGGAAGGGUCCAAGAGAAUGGGAGUGAGAAGAGAAGGAGAACAAAGUAGAACAGGGAUCCUACUAAUCUCAAUGCGUUUAGAUGAUAUGGAAACGUGACAUCAGACUAAUAAUAACAUCACCAAGAAGGACAACAGGGAGAGAAUUCCAAGAAGGACGAUUCCAAUGAAAACAACCCUCAGAUUGCACCUCACUGCAGAAAGAAUGACUAAGAUCAAGAAAGCAAUCGGUAACAAGCCUUGGGAGAGCGGUGGGGAGAAAGAAACCUUUCUCCAUUGCUGGUGUGAACGUAGACUAUCACAACCCCUGUGGAAAGCAGGCUGGAGAUGCCUCAAACCACUAAGGAUAACGAUUCCACUUGACAGAGCUAUUGCUCUUGUUGGUGUCUUCCUGAAAGACGGAAAAGCACAUACUUACCACAGCGAUCUAUGCACACCCACGUCCAUAGUGGCACAGUCUGUGGCAGUCAAUCUUGGAAACAGCCCAAACGUGCGGAAGAACGGUCAUGGCCGCUUCACAGUUCAGGGUCAACCCUAGAAACAGAACAAAUGGCCAUCCGAAGAUGGGUGCUUGUACAAGCUGUGCUUCAUGCACACAAUGGUGUGGGAUGGAUCUGCCACCAACAAGGAACAGCACAGCUGGAGUGGAGCUUGGUACACUGCUUGAAGAAGACUCACCAAGCAACACUGCUACUGAACCUCUAGAACAGGGCAGCGAUCCAGCAGCAGGGACACCUGCUGGAGGUCCUGCACAUGGCCUGCUUGGGAGCUGGGGAGAGGAGGACAGGAAGCGAUAGCAGUGGCCACAACAAAGUCUCGAGGGACGUGUGCAUGUGUCCUUCAUCAGCACAGGGUGAUGAUCUCCACAGCCUUGCGAAGACCUCACUGCCUGCUCUCCCUCUCCAUAGGGUCUUAUCCUACUGGGGACUACGCUGUGUGACUGAGUUCCGUAUCUAUGCGUGAAUCACUCCAAUGCACCUGGAAGGUAAAACCUGCUUUGAAGCCUCCAUGACUAACCACGCAGUGGCUGUAACUGGAGACUUUCACAUCUAGGGAGGAAAAUGAUUAUGGACAUUUGAGGUACUUCACAACACUCCCUACUGCAACUGCAAGAACUCUGAAAUCCACCCAUGAACACGGUCAUCCUACAAUUGCACACAUCACUGAGCAAUGACGCUGAGCACUGCUCCUUCACAGGAAAUGGACCCUCUGGCAGGAAGAACACACUUCAGGGCGUGCCUGCCACAUCUCAGGCAUCUACACAGUGGCUGCACUAAAACUUCAAAGUUCACCAGAGUCUAAAAUCACACUCAGGGGCUGGGGAUUUAGCUCAGCAGCACAGCACCUGUGUGGCAAGAACGACUUCGUGAGUUCGAUUCCUGGUACCAGAAAAAAACAAAAAACAAACAAAGAAACAAAAAAAAAUACAAAAAUACAAAAAAUACAAAAUAAAAAACUAAAAUCACACUCAGACUCUCUAGUUCUUCAUUGCUGUUUCGAAGGAGCACACAGAUUUGCUCCAACACAAACAGAAAGACAGGUGGUAGUCUUCUUAUGCCGGGGGGGGGGGGGCUCCGCUAUGGCCCCCAACACACGACCUCACUUCCUUGGCGACAGAUCCAAACAGAACUUAGAACCCUGUGGGCACUAGGCACCAUAGGUUAGUGCCAACUGCCUUCCCAGGCACUUAGCUGGACACAGGCAGUAGUAGAAAUGCUGUGUUGCUUUCCCAGGCCUCGAGGCACCAGCCUCAGGACCCCGCACAGGGAAACCGUGUGGCAACGAG
Molecule: long non-coding RNA, 5863 nt
Organism: Chinchilla lanigera (long-tailed chinchilla)
Lineage: Eukaryota; Metazoa; Chordata; Mammalia; Rodentia; Chinchillidae
Source: Ensembl